UAAACCCCUAAAUCUCUGCCACCGUAAAUCUACCAAUUUCGUCGUCUCAGCUCACCUCCGGAAAGUUCCGAUGACGAAGAAGAGCAAAGAAGCUAACGAAGCUAAGACGUUAGAAACCAAAAGCAAAAGCGUUUCUGUGAAAUCAGUUGAAAAGGAAGUGAAAACCUUAAAGGAUGAAGACCACCUGAUGCAAAGACUCUGGAACUGAUUCUGAUUACGGAUCUUUGAAUUCCGGAUGGUUUCGAAUCAGAAGAUGAUCUAACACAGGGGGAGUAACAGAAGACGGAGGAGUUGGUGAAGCAUCCGAAGACGAGCUGCAUGAUCAUGAGGAGGGCUCAAUUGAUAAUGAGGAUGAUGAUGGAAGUGAACAAAUAGAUAGUGACAAUAACGAGGAAGAUGGGAGUGAUGAAGGUUCUGAUCGAGAUGAAGCGGUUGAAGAUGAGGUAGGUUUCUCCUAGAAUUACAACAGUUGGGGAUGUUCCCUUGGAGUGGUAUAAAGAUGAGAAACAUAUUGGUUAUGACAUCACUAAGAAGAUCUUUACUAAAAAAGAAAAACAAGACAGACGUGACUCUUUUCUUGCAACUAUGGUUGGCUCUACGAAUUGGCGCAAAAUUAUUGAUGACUAUAAUGACGAGGAAGUGGAGCUGACUAAAAAGAAGAGCAAGAUGGUUCGUAGAUUGCUCGAAGGGGAAGAAGCUCCACAUGCUGACUUUGAUCCAUAUGCGGAUUUUGUUGACUGGUUCAAAUGGACUGAUGCAAUACAUCCACUCUCAAGUGCACCAGAACCCAAGUGAAGGUUCAUCCACUCUCAAGUGCAUCCGAUUCAUGUAUUACCCAUAUCAAGCUUUUCUUUUAUUAGUUAUUAAAUUAAUUAAAAUGCAUUAACAAUUUUUUUUUUUUUUUUUGUAAUAUGCCACAUGAUAGUAGUUUUAAUUAAACUCCUAAUAACAUUGCUCAAAUAAGAUUAUGAAAUUUAGGUU
Long non-coding RNA from Camelina sativa (false flax), 981 nucleotides. RefSeq lists it as uncharacterized. The record is from RefSeq and is a predicted model, not a curated record. NCBI's taxonomy places the organism in Eukaryota, Viridiplantae, Streptophyta, Magnoliopsida, Brassicales, Brassicaceae.